RNAcentral lists this ribosomal RNA (457 nucleotides) under uncultured bacterium. Its description in RNAcentral is "SSU rRNA". It matches the Rfam family "Bacterial small subunit ribosomal RNA", at positions 26 to 518 of the family's 1533-position model. The record is from RNAcentral.
AGAAUCAACGCUGGCGGCGUGCCUAACACAUGCAAGUCGAACGAGAAAGUGGAGCAAUCCAUGAGUAAAGUGGCGCACGGGUGAGUAACACGUGACUAACCUACCUUUUAGUGGGGGAUAACCUAGGGAAACCUGGGCUAAUACCGCAUAACACUUACGAGUCAAAGCAGCAAUGCGCUGAAAGAGGGGGUCGCGGCCGAUUAGCUAGUUGGCGGGGUAAUGGCCCACCAAGGCAGUGAUCGGUAUCCGGCCUGAGAGGGCGCACGGACACACUGGAACUGAAACACGGUCCAGACUCCUACGGGAGGCAGCAGUGGGAAUUUUGCGCAAUGGGGGAAACCCUGACGCAGCAACGCCGCGUGGAGGAUGAAGUCCCUUGGGACGUAAACUCCUUUCGAUCGGGACGAUAAUGACGGUACGGAAGAAGAAGCCCGGCUAACUUCGUGCCAGCAGCCGC